CAUUUGACGAGCUUCAGGAGAUGUAGCUCUAAAAUAUGUGGAUCUUCACCAAAGACUGGAGCACAAGGAAGUGUUAGUGGGCUUGUUGUUCCUGGUUUUCCCGUUCAUUCCAGCCAGCAAUCUCUUCUUCAGGGUGGGUUUUGUGGUGGCCGAGAGAGUCCUUUACAUGCCUAGUGUGAAGAAUGUGACAUACAAUAUGUGGGAUUCAUUCUGAUGCACUAUCACGUGAAUCUUCGAUGCUUCAGAGUCUCUGGAAGAGAGAUUCUUAAUUGGGACUGAAUCUCAAUGCCAAUGUUACAUCAUCAGCAAAG
Long non-coding RNA from Canis lupus familiaris (dog), 311 nucleotides. RefSeq lists it as uncharacterized. Lineage: Eukaryota; Metazoa; Chordata; Mammalia; Carnivora; Canidae. The record is from RefSeq and is a predicted model, not a curated record. The transcript has 3 exons.